Rosa rugosa (rugosa rose) is the source of this 206-nucleotide small nucleolar RNA. RefSeq annotates it as small nucleolar RNA U3. NCBI's taxonomy places the organism in Eukaryota, Viridiplantae, Streptophyta, Magnoliopsida, Rosales, Rosaceae. The record is from RefSeq and is a predicted model, not a curated record. The transcript has a single exon.
ACGACCUUACUUGAACAGGAUCUGUUCUAUAGGAUCGUACCUCUGUGUCCCUGACUUCUAAGGAGACAGGAAUCUAAACCUGGUGGAUGAAUCAUGGCCAUGUGAUCAGAGCAUGAUUAACGGCUGGUGAUCACUGUGGUCGUAGAUGAUCGUUCUCAGUUGGGCUCCAUCCCUCCUGGGGUGGUCGCUUGGUUGUCUGACGGGUU